This 662-nucleotide long non-coding RNA is filed under the name Bos taurus (domestic cattle). Its description in RNAcentral is "long non-coding RNA NONBTAT025751". The record is from RNAcentral. Lineage: Eukaryota; Metazoa; Chordata; Mammalia; Artiodactyla; Bovidae.
CUUUGGAUAGGAUCAUUUCCAAAGUUUUUCAUAAUUGCCAUUUCUUAUUUAACUCUUUUACAUGAGACUGAUAUUGGGGUUGACCUUCCUUUCUUUCUGCUCUUCCAUUUCUUGUUUGAUGCUGGCACCUGAAUGGCCUAGUAGAUAAGCCAACUCCUAGAAUAUCCCACACACUGAGACAGGCCCCCCACCUCAGAUUCUAGGACAACACUAACUUUACAUUCUCAGUCAUUCUAGAGUUUGACAUAAAACCAGUUUUCCUUAGCUCUUACUGGACCAUAUGUCAACUCCUAGAAAUCCAACUUUCCAGAAAACAGGAAUGAACCUUCCACACUAGAUCCUAUUUCCUGACUGACAUCCUCUCACUGAUCCAGAGAAUGUGAAGAAUGGGGUAGAGAGUGAAAGAGGAGGGGCCUUCAGGGAGAGUAAAAUUGUCCGGGGAUAGUUCUUGUCCUGUCUCUAAGACCCUCCCUGCUCAAUGUGUUUUCUGCUGAGAGUGAAUUACAGGAAAUGAAGCAGAUGAUCCAAGUGGCCCUUGCUGGUAUCUUCAUAACCACCACUCAGUGUGGGAUGAAUCACUCAGCUAAGUACAGGUUGAGCUUGCUUUAAGAAAACAGUGUAUUUUAAAAAUAUGUGGUUAUACCUCUUCUGCUAUAAAAUCC